GACAGAGGAUGCAAGCGUUAUCCGGAAUGAUUGGGCGUAAAGCGUCUGUAGGUGGCUUCUUAAGUCCGCUGUCAAAUCCCAGGGCUUAACCCUGGCCAGGCGGUGGAGACUACCAAGCUUGAGUACGGUAGGGGCAGAGGGAAUUUCCGGUGGAGCGGUGAAAUGCGUAGAGAUCGGAAAGAACACCAAGGGCGAAGGCACUCUGCUGGGCCGACACUGACACUGAGAGACGAGAGCUAGGGGAGCAAAUGGG
RNAcentral lists this ribosomal RNA (253 nucleotides) under uncultured prokaryote. RNAcentral's name for it is "partial 16S ribosomal RNA". It matches the Rfam family "Bacterial small subunit ribosomal RNA", at positions 524 to 776 of the family's 1533-position model. The record is from RNAcentral.